Bufo gargarizans (Asiatic toad) is the source of this 733-nucleotide long non-coding RNA. RefSeq lists it as uncharacterized. The record is from RefSeq and is a predicted model, not a curated record. NCBI's taxonomy places the organism in Eukaryota, Metazoa, Chordata, Amphibia, Anura, Bufonidae. The transcript has 4 exons.
CUGUACAUUACAGAGCUCUGUUAUAAGGGAGGAGGCUGCUGAUUGGCCAGUAUCAGCUGGCUGCCCUGCUAUUGGCUGAUCCUCUCACACCCCCUCCUCUCGGGAGCUGAACACAGCAGCAGUAGCUUCCUUUUCAGUUAUUAUGAAGACAGGAAGCGCGCCACCCCUGCUGCUGAUGAAGUGCCAGGGACAGCAUUAGGAAUGGAGCCAUCACCAUGUGCCCAGGUGAAGUGACAAGGGCGAAUAGAGCGUCUUAUAGGGUGAAAAAUACGAGAACAUCUUGUACUUUUUAAAGAGAUUCACAUAGUAGUGAAUGGAGAAUCACAGACAGAGGAAGACAGGACCUGACCACACAGCUCUGUUUACAUCUUGCUCGGAGCUCUCGGAAGUUAAAGUAACGUUUUUAUUGCAAUGUGUUUCAUCACUGAACCCAAGACUUCUUCAUAUUUUGAAAUCAACAAUGUUGGUAAUACCUUCUCAAAGCUGGAGGAAGUAAAAUGGGCAAAGCAGAAUCCGACAGAACAGAUUGAAACAGAUGCAAAAUGAAAAUUCUAGAUUAAGCCUAUAGAAAUGAAUGGGAGCAUCAACACAAAGCAAUGAACAUCACAUCACUGAUAAACGAUGACUCAAUUAUUCUGUUUGGGAGGAUUCACCCUUAAAUGGGUUAUACAACCUUUUGAAAUCAGGUUAAACUGUUUAAUUUUUUUUUCAAUAAAUUACCUUUAGAAUUUGA